GUGCAGCAGGCGCGAAUACUCCGCAAUGCGGGCAACCGCGACGGGGCUACCCCGAGUGCCGGGCGAAGAGUCCGGCUUUUGCCCGGUCUAAAAAGCCGGGAGAAUAAGCGGGGGGCAAGUCUGGUGUCAGCCGCCGCGGUAAUACCAGCUCCGCGAGUGGUCGGGGUGUUUACUGGGCUUAAAGCGCCCGUAGCCGGCCCGGCAAGUCGCUCCUGAAAUCCCCGGGCUCAACCCGGGGGCGGGGGGCGAUACUGCCGGGCUAGGGGGCGGGAGAGGCCGCCGGUACUCCGGGGGUAGGGGCGAAAUCCGUUAAUCCCCGGAGGACCACCAGUGGCGAAAGCGGGCGGCCAGAACGCGCCCGACGGUGAGGGGCGAAAGCCGGGGGAGCAAAGGGGAUUAGAUACCCCUGUAGUCCCGGCCGUAAACGAUGCGGGCUAGCUGUCGGCCGGGCUUAGGGCCCGGCCGGUGGCGAAGGGAAACCGUUAAGCCCGCCGCCUGGGGAGUACGGCCGCAAGGCUGAAACUUAAAGGAAUUGGCGGGGGAGCAC
Molecule: ribosomal RNA, 547 nt
Filed under: uncultured archaeon
Lineage: Archaea
Description: bacterial SSU rRNA
Rfam family: Archaeal small subunit ribosomal RNA
Source: RNAcentral